RNAcentral lists this ribosomal RNA (746 nucleotides) under uncultured bacterium. RNAcentral describes it as "bacterial SSU rRNA". It matches the Rfam family "Bacterial small subunit ribosomal RNA", at positions 95 to 820 of the family's 1533-position model. The record is from RNAcentral.
GCAGCGCAAGGGUGAGUAAUACAUGGCUAACAUACCCCAUAUAUGAGAAUAACUAUUAGAAAUGAUAGCUAAUGCUCAAUAGUUUCUUAAGGCCGCAUGGUCUAAAGAAUAAAGGUAGGGAUCCUUCGGGACCUUCUGGUUUGGGAGUGGGUCAUGGGCUAUCAGCUAGUUGGUGAGGUAAAGGCUCACCAAGGCUAAGACGGCUAGGCGAUCUGAGAGGAUGAUCGCCCACAUCGGGACUGAGACACUGCCCGGACUCCUACGGGAGGCUGCAGUCGAGAAUCUUCCGCAAUGGGCGCAAGCCUGACGGAGCGACGCCGCGUGAGGGACGAAGGCUUUAGGGUCGUAAACCUCUUUCGCUUGUUAAGAAAAGUGUAUGUUAAUAGCAUGCACCCUGACAAAGGCAAGUAAAGAAGCACCGGCUAAAUCCGUGCCAGCAGCCGCGGUAAUACGGAUGGUGCAAGCGUCACUCGGAAUCACUGGGCGUAAAGCGUUCGUAGGUGGUUUGUUAAGUUGGAUGUGUAAUCCCACGGCUCAACCGUGGAACUGCGUUCAAAACUGAUGAACUAGAGAGCAGUAGGGGACAAGGGAACUUCAGGUGGAGCGGUGAAAUGCGUACAUAUCUGAAGGAACACCGAUGGCGAAAGCACUUGUCUGGGCUGAUUCUGACACUGAGGAACGAAAGCUAGGGUAGCGAACGGGAUUAGAUACCCCGGUAGUCCUAGCCGUAAACGAUGGAUACUAGG